This 253-nucleotide ribosomal RNA is filed under the name uncultured bacterium. RNAcentral's name for it is "partial 16S ribosomal RNA". It matches the Rfam family "Bacterial small subunit ribosomal RNA", at positions 524 to 776 of the family's 1533-position model. The record is from RNAcentral.
UACGAAGGGUGCAAGCGUUACUCGGAAUUACUGGGCGUAAAGCGUGCGUAGGCGGUUUGUUAAGUCCGCUGUGAAAGCCCUGGGCUCAACCUGGGAAUUGCAGUGGAUACUGGCAAGCUAGAGUGCGGUAGAGGAUGGUGGAAUUCCCGGUGUAGCGGUGAAAUGCGUAGAGAUCGGGAGGAACACCCGUGGCGAAGGCGGCCAUCUGGACCACAACUGACGCUGAGGCGCGAAAGCUAGGGGAGCAAACAGG